AUGCAACGCCACAUCGACCCCUCCCGCCGCCCCAGAGAGAGCUACUCGCUGACCAUGUCUUCCCCGGCGACAGAGCAGGCCAUUUUCUUCCUGCGCAACCACGCCGUCACCAUGACUGCGACGGACGGUGUCAACGCCACGUCCCCUAUGGCGGUGGGCAGCACGCUGGAGGCGCAGCUUGCCGUCCCGGUGAGCCUGCUGCGUGUCACGGCUCACCACCCGAAACACUACCUCGUCAUCUACAGCCAGCCCACGCACCAUGUCAACGCCGUUCGCCGCGGCUCAAUC
This 288-nucleotide ribosomal RNA is filed under the name Triticum aestivum (bread wheat). RNAcentral describes it as "partial small subunit ribosomal RNA". The record is from RNAcentral. Lineage: Eukaryota; Viridiplantae; Streptophyta; Magnoliopsida; Poales; Poaceae.